UACACUUGCGUGCAUCUUUGUUCAGCUGAUAGGCAAAGGAAUGAAAGACGGGUGCAAGAAAACCAAUCUUCUUUUGCAACCCAGGGCUCAUUGUUUAGUGUAGUUUUGAAACGUAGAAGAAAGGGUAUG
Molecule: small nucleolar RNA, 129 nt
Organism: Microtus ochrogaster (prairie vole)
Lineage: Eukaryota; Metazoa; Chordata; Mammalia; Rodentia; Cricetidae
Source: Ensembl